This 429-nucleotide ribosomal RNA is filed under the name Pseudomonadota bacterium. RNAcentral's name for it is "Proteobacteria bacterium partial 16S ribosomal RNA". It matches the Rfam family "Bacterial small subunit ribosomal RNA", at positions 355 to 776 of the family's 1533-position model. The record is from RNAcentral. Lineage: Bacteria; Pseudomonadati; Pseudomonadota.
UGGGGAAUAUUGGACAAUGGGCGAAAGCCUGAUCCAGCCAUGCCGCGUGUGUGAAGAAGGUCUUCGGAUUGUAAAGCACUUUAAGUUGGGAGGAAGGGCAGUAAGCGAAUACCUUGCUGUUUUGACGUUACCGACAGAAUAAGCACCGGCUAACUCUGUGCCAGCAGCCGCGGUAAUACAGAGGGUGCAAGCGUUAAUCGGAAUUACUGGGCGUAAAGCGCGCGUAGGUGGUUCGUUAAGUUGAAUGUGAAAGCCCCGGGCUCAACCUGGGACCUGCAUCCAAAGCUGGCGAGCUAGAGUAGGGCAGAGGGUGGUGGAAUUUCCUGUGUAGCGGUGAAAUGCGUAGAUAUAGGAAGGAACACCAGUGGCGAAGGCGACCACCUGCGCUCAUACUGACCCUGAGGUGCGAAAGCGUGGGGAGCAAACAGG